AGGCGUCACCUGGGAACUGGUGUCGUGUCCGUAUGAAAAAGGAGUGGCGGGGCGGGCCUUGAUAUCCCUCAAAAGCAAGAUCCAAAAUGAAAAGCGAUUUUUUUUCCCUUGGAUUUAAAGGGGGGGGAAAGGGGUGAGGGUAUAACCCUAUCGAAUACGUGCCCGUUUAGGGGGGGGCAAAGGUUCCGGAAAAUGGGGGAACUAAAACCCCCAUUCGGCCUUAAGGGGAUAAAAUGGGGGGGUCCUUUGGGACCCCAAACUUUUCAAGUAAGGCUUAAUUGCAAUUUUAAUAAUUGGUGGGGGUAAAGGGCUAACCCAAGCGUCGAUUCGUAACUGGUUUGGGGGGGUGAUCAGUCCAUCCCUGAACUGGGGCCCGGUCCCGAAUUCUUAGGGGGGCCGCCAUGGGGAAUUUUGGACAAUUGGGCAAAGCCUGAAUCCACCAAUCCGCGUGCUGAAGAAAGUCUUUCGAUUGUAAAGCUCUUUAAGUUCGGAGGAAGGGCCGUAAGUUUAUUCCCUGCUGUUUAGGCGUUACCACCAGAAUAAGCACCGGCUUAUUUCGUUGCCGCAGCCGCCGUUAUAAUAAGGGGGCCACGGGUUAUUUGAAUUUCUGGGGGGUAAACGGGGGUCGGUGGUUUAUCAAAUAGGAUGUGAAAUUCCCGGGCUCCACAACUGCUGGGCAUCCAAAACUACCAAGCUUGAAUACGGUAGAGGGUGGAGGAAUUUCCUGUGUAGCCGUGAAAAGCGUAGAUUUAGGGGAGAACCCCAGUGGGGAAGGGGACCCCCCGGGGCGUUCCUGGCCCUCGGUCCGAAAACUCUUUUCCACCUGCUUAAAUUCCCUGGUAAUCCCCGAGUAAGGAAACCUUCCGUGGGAUCCUUAAUGUCUCAGUCUGAUCCAGGAGCAAGCUCC
This 907-nucleotide ribosomal RNA is filed under the name Pseudomonas putida. RNAcentral describes it as "partial 16S ribosomal RNA". It matches the Rfam family "Bacterial small subunit ribosomal RNA", at positions 64 to 873 of the family's 1533-position model. Lineage: Bacteria; Pseudomonadati; Pseudomonadota; Gammaproteobacteria; Pseudomonadales; Pseudomonadaceae. The record is from RNAcentral.